This 526-nucleotide ribosomal RNA is filed under the name uncultured bacterium. Its description in RNAcentral is "bacterial SSU rRNA". It matches the Rfam family "Bacterial small subunit ribosomal RNA", at positions 337 to 863 of the family's 1533-position model. The record is from RNAcentral.
CUCUACGGGAGGCAGCAGUAAGGAAUAUUGGUCAAUGGACGCAAGUCUGAACCAGCCAUGCCGCGUGGAGGAUGAAGGUCCUCUGGAUUGUAAACUUCUUUUAUCUGGGACGAAACACUCCUUUUCUAAGGGGCCUGACGGUACCAGAUGAAUAAGCACCGGCUAACUCCGUGCCAGCAGCCGCGGUAAUACGGAGGGUGCAAGCGUUAUCCGGAUUCACUGGGUUUAAAGGGUGCGUAGGUGGGUAUGUAAGUCAGUGGUGAAAUCCCCGAGCUUAACUUGGGAACUGCCAUUGAUACUAUAUAUCUUGAAUGUCGUAGAGGUAAGCGGAAUAUGUCAUGUAGCGGUGAAAUGCUUAGAUAUGACAUAGAACACCAAUUGCGAAGGCAGCUUACUAUGCGAUUAUUGACACUGAGGCACGAAAGCGUGGGUAGCAAACAGGAUUAGAUACCCUGGUAGUCCACGCCCUAAACUAUGGAUACUCGACAUACGCGAUACACUGUGUGUGUCUGAGCGAAAGCAUUAA